RNAcentral lists this ribosomal RNA (98 nucleotides) under uncultured bacterium. RNAcentral describes it as "partial 16S ribosomal RNA". It matches the Rfam family "Bacterial small subunit ribosomal RNA", at positions 255 to 354 of the family's 1533-position model. The record is from RNAcentral.
GGGUAACGGCCCACCAGGCGACGAUCAGUAGCCGGACUGAGAGGUUGCCGGCCACAUUGGGACUGAGAUACGGCCCAGACUCCUACGGGAGGCAGCAG